This 427-nucleotide ribosomal RNA is filed under the name uncultured bacterium. RNAcentral's name for it is "bacterial SSU rRNA". It matches the Rfam family "Bacterial small subunit ribosomal RNA", at positions 355 to 774 of the family's 1533-position model. The record is from RNAcentral.
UGGGGAAUUUUGGACAAUGGGCGCAAGCCUGAUCCAGCCAUGCCGCGUGAGUGAAGAAGGCCUUCGGGUUGUAAAGCUCUUUCGGACGGGAAGAAAUGGCGGGCUCUGACAUAGCCUGUCGAUGACGGUACCGUAAGAAGAAGCACCGGCUAACUACGUGCCAGCAGCCGCGGUAAUACGUAGGGUGCGAGCGUUAAUCGGAAUUACUGGGCGUAAAGCGUGCGCAGGCGGUUUUGUAAGACAGAUGUGAAAUCCCCGGGCUUAACCUGGGAACUGCGUUUGUGACUGCAAGGCUGGAGUACGGCAGAGGGGGGUGGAAUUCCACGUGUAGCAGUGAAAUGCGUAGAGAUGUGGAGGAACACCGAUGGCGAAGGCAGCCCCCUGGGCCUGUACUGACGCUCAUGCACGAAAGCGUGGGGAGCAAACA